GAUACCCUAUUAUUAGAAACGUUAAUUUUGAACUAAAGUUAUUAUGAGUUAUGAUCUUUAAAGUUAAAAAAUUUGGCGGUAUUUUAGUCUGUUCAGAGGAACCUGUUUUUUAAUUGAUAGUCCACGAUUAUUGAAACUUUUUCUUUAAAUUUGUAUAUCGUCGUUAAUAAAAAUUUUGGGAGAACUUUAAUUUUUGAGAUUUCUUAUUUGGUAAUAAUUCCGAUCAAGGGGCAGUUUAUGAAAAAGUUAAAAUGGGUUACCUUAUUAUUAGAUGUGGGUUUUAAUUUUAAAAGUGAUCAUAAAGUGGAUUUGAUAGUAAAUUGUUUAUUUUAAAGGGUUGAUUUAGCCCUAAAAUAUGUACACAUCGCC
RNAcentral lists this ribosomal RNA (369 nucleotides) under Artystona rugiceps. RNAcentral describes it as "partial 12S ribosomal RNA". The record is from RNAcentral. Lineage: Eukaryota; Metazoa; Arthropoda; Insecta; Coleoptera; Tenebrionidae.